Molecule: ribosomal RNA, 465 nt
Filed under: uncultured bacterium
Lineage: Bacteria
Description: partial 16S ribosomal RNA
Rfam family: Bacterial small subunit ribosomal RNA
Source: RNAcentral
CCUACGGGAGGCAGCAGUAGGGAAUCUUCCACAAUGGGCGAAAGCCUGAUGGAGCAACGCCGCGUGGGUGAAGAAGGUCUUCGGAUCGUAAAACCCUGUUGUUAGAGAAGAACAUGCGUGAGAGUAACUGUUCACGUUUCGACGGUAUCUAACCAGAAAGCCACGGCUAACUACGUGCCAGCAGCCGCGGUAAUACGUAGGUGGCAAGCGUUAUCCGGAUUUAUUGGGCGUAAAUAGAACGCAGGCGGUCUUUUAAGUCUGAUGUGAAAGCCUUCGGCUUAACCGGAGUAGUGCAUUGGAAACGGGGAGACGUGAGUGCAGAAGAGGAGAGUGGAACUCCAUGUGUAGCGGUGAAAUGCGUAGAUAUAUGGAAGAACACCAGUGGCGAAAGCGGCUCUCUGGUCUGUAACUGACGCUGAGGUUCGAAAGCGGGGGUAGCAAACAGGAUUAGAUACCCCGGUAGUC